GGACUACCGGGGUAUCUAAUCCGGUUUGCUCCCCACGCUCUCGCGCCUCAGCGUCAGGGCGCCCCCAGCCGGCCGCCUUCGCCACUGGUGUUCUUCCCGAUCUCUACGCAUUUCACCACUACACCGGGAGUUCCACCGGCCUCUAGGCCCCUCCAGUAGGCCAGUCUCCUCCGCCGCCGCCCAGUUGAGCCGGGCGAUUUCACAGAGGACUUAACCCACCGCCUGCGCGCGCUUUACGCCCAGUAAAUCCGGACAACGCUCGCCACCUACGUAUUACCGCGGCUGCUGGCAC
RNAcentral lists this ribosomal RNA (292 nucleotides) under uncultured bacterium. RNAcentral describes it as "partial 16S ribosomal RNA". The record is from RNAcentral.